UUUUUUUUUUUUUUUUUUUUUGCCUUUGGAGUUGUGGGGGGGGGGGGGGUGUUGGGGGAUUUAAAAAAAAAAAAAAAAACUCUCCAUUGAAAUAUAUGCGGCUAAAUUUUUAAGUUGUAAAGUAUGUGUUGACAUCUUUCACCCAAAAUAACUCAAUACAUUGCUCCUUUUCAUUGUCGUCUUAAAUUUGUGAUACAAUUUCUUAUGUGAAUUAUGUCAUACGGGAUGAUUUUUUUUUCAGGGAAUAUAUCGGCUCAAGGUAUGAUGCAUUUGAUAUGUAUAACAUGCUUCAAAAAUUAAAUUGGCUUAAGUGGAAACUGAAAGAACACGAUGAUGUGUAAUAGAAUAUUAGCAAUUAAAAAUACGAUAUGUAAAAACUUGUGUUUGUACUAGUUUCAUGCACUAUUCUUACUUCUAUUCUAACCUAACCUAUUUAGAGAAGGAUCCUACUAGAUCAAAAGGGGUUAAACGGAAGUGGUUCCUACGUUCAAACCAAAGGGGUACACUAUUUCACACCCCUUUGAGAUAUAAAUGGAUUCGUACAAAAGCUAGGUUGAGAGGUGAACCAUGGUAUUUUUAGGGGUCGCAUUCAUGUCUAGUUCGCCUAAGUGUGUCCAAGAUUCGUGACUUGCAUUCCAUGGUUUUAUUAAUAUAAAGAACUUGCUUAAAAUCAUAUGAUUGCUUCAAAGUUGGAAAAUUUCCAGCUGCUACAAAAUGCUGUCUAACUUAGUUUACAAUAACCCUAGCAAAAAUCAUUUAAUUGUCUCAACAUUUCAUUCCAUUUAUCCAUAAUGGGAUACAUAAAUAUUCAAUUCUAAAUUUUGUUAUACAUGUUGUCAUUUCAUGAAACGGUUCAAGAGGAUCAGAAAUUUUAGGAGCAACUUGGAAACAACUUUGCAGUGAUCGUAAUCAUGCCUUUUAAUGUGAUCAAAUUCAGUAACUCAGUUUCUGAUUCAACAGCUGAAAUGACCUAAACUUCAUAGCCACACCCUGUUAGUAUAAAUAAUCGCCCCAAAUUAAACCAAAUAAAUCACAACCUAAAAGCCAAUACAAAUAAAUUAACAUGCCUAAGCUUUGCUUUCUUGCCUAUCCUUUUGUCCCCAGUCUCAAGUAAGCCUUACCUCUUCAUCAUGUCAAAAUUGCAAAAUUUCUAGCAUUGGUUAGAGUCUCCUACCUCUGUGUGUGUGUGUAUAUAUAUAUAUAUAUAUAUAUAUAUAUAUUUGCCAGUUUACCAAUUUCCAGAGGGAAUAGGGGCAGGAGAAACGCUGCAGCCAAGUACAUUAGCCUCCAGGAAACUGCUUAAAAGUAGGAAGAAUUUAACCAAAAGCAUUUCCAUGAUCACAAAUUAUAACUUUUUAUCCUGAAAAAUUAGUGGGUCCCAAUCCAAGAGGUGAUGGAGCUCUUCCUUGCGGUAGCUCCUGUGUUCAUAACCCUAGAGAUUGUAAGGGUGAUUGUGCAUGUAUUUUUCCUAUUUACGUCUGUCUGGGAAAAUGUUGUGGUGAUUCUUUAGCUUCUCUCUGAUGAAAUCAGAAGCUCAACUCAUCAUGCUAAUGCUUCACAGUUAUUACUAGUGUACCUGGGAAAGGCUUUACAUAAAUACACAUAUACUGGUGUAGAUUCAAUAUGAGAUAUAACUAUAUUAAAAAAAAACGGGUAGCAGUUCGACUACUAAAUCCCGUACACAUUAACAGAUUGUGGCACAAGAUAUCCAGCAAAACCAUAUCCUUUUUAAUGGUACUCAUAAAAGGAUCCUGAUGGCAGAAUGGAGAGAAUAGUUAGCCUGCACAAAACUCUGAAAUAUCUCUAAAAAUUCUCAACUACAUUAACCAGAAGUAAUCGUCUUGAAUAUUGUAAUCAACAUAUUGUUAGCUUAGUCUAGCUGCCAACAAUUGCUUGUUAGUUCAUUGGCUUGAAUCAGGAAUGCUAUAAUGAGUUUGUCCAUCAAACUCAAGAACUCUGCAUUGUCUCUUUGAAAUAAGUAAAAGGAACCCAAUAGAGCAUACAUAUUGCAGCAUGAAAAUACCAUUUAAGCUAGAUACAUCAAAACACACACGAAAAAGGGACAUGUUGGAAGUAAAUUAUGUUAGUCAUACAAGUUGUAAAUCAAAAGAAAAGCAUGAAGUGCAUCAAAAAAUUCAUUAAUAGCUUUAUGACAAUAAGGGAAAACAUGAAAGGCAAGAUAUGAAAAAAGACAGAAGAAUGCUGGACAGAGAUUCAGACAGUAACGGUGGAUAAUUAUGAUUUCGUGAAUAAACUUAGCUUGAUGCUAAUAAACUGUGAAUAAGAUUUUUAACAACUGUACAAUCACAGGUGAUCUACAAAUAAAUUUAGUAAAUAUCAAUAUUUGGUUUCCAAGUUCGAACAAAUGCAUUUGCUUAGAGUUUCUUGAAAUCAAGAAUUAAGCAUGCACCUCAACUUGCUUCUGCCCUUGUUUAGGGAUUACGGAUCCAAGUUC
Molecule: long non-coding RNA, 2455 nt
Filed under: Coffea arabica (coffee)
Lineage: Eukaryota; Viridiplantae; Streptophyta; Magnoliopsida; Gentianales; Rubiaceae
Description: long non-coding RNA (CARA_LNC002333)
Source: RNAcentral